CACAAUUUCAAAAAUGAAAGAUUAGUAGCCUCUAAAGAUUCUUAAAACAUUUCAAACAAUCUAUAAGAAAAAAACACAGAAUGCUAUUCAUUAGUGUUGAUCAGGCCAGAUGAAAAAAAUAAAUGUGGCUGAUGUAGCAGCUCUAAGACCUACUCAAGUGGUUUAUCAUGAGAAGAAAUAAAAAAGGCCCUGGCUGACUCUCAGUAUCCCAUGGUGCCUCUGCAGCACAUCCAAAAACUGCAUUGAAGUAAAGUUAUUCUCUAAAUUAAGAGACUACUAUCUGGUCCAUUAGGCCAUGGUUGAAAACCACGAAUUGUGAGGCUCCCUAGGGUCCUCUGGAGAUGUUACAGGGGAUGGAAGUGAAGCUAGUGAUAGUUGUGGAGGAGCUGAUGACUGGAUCCUCUCAUCCUCACUUCAACACAAGGACCACAGAUUUAAUACUUCAUAUUUUGGGGUUCAACAUAAAAUGCUUCGAAAAAGUCUCUACUGCUAAAAGGAAAUCCAAAAAUUGGCACAAUAUAAAUAAUUGUUUUUGAAUAUUCAUACUGAAUAAAGAUUCAAAUAACUUGAGACUUUUAUUUGCUAGACAGAGAAUCCAGUCUAACAUCUAUAGACUUUCCUGUGGGUUCAAGAAAUAAUCGGUUCCUUUAUUUCUUGAGGUCAGCAAUAAAUGCACGUUAUGUUUAAGGAAUUAUGUUUCUCACAUAUUAAUAUGGAAUGAAGUCUGAUAAGGAUUAAUUUUCAUCAACAUGUAAUUUUUCUGAGAACCACUUAACAUUUUUAGUUUAUAAUGAAAAUUAAUCUCAUUAAAAUAAGUAUGUACAUAUGCCUGGUCCAACAUAAUAAAUGCAGACUGAAAAAACAGAAACUAAAUUGAAAUUCUACAGAUCUAAUGAUGCUUUCCUUCUUUCUCGGUACAGCUUUGAUAUCUACUUGCAGAGAAAACCAAAAUCAGAACAAAUGUAACAUUAUAAAAAAACAUCAAAUCUUAAAAUCACAUAUUUAGUAAGAAAUAAAACAGAAUGUUUCUAACAAAAUAUCAGAAAUGCUAAUAAAAUAAAAUAUUGUUUUGAACCAACCAAAAACUUUCACACAGACAUGGGAAAGGAGAACGGCUUAAAUCAAUGAAGACAUAACCAAGACUCUUGAUUUCUUAAUUACACAAUCUAUCUUCCAGUAAGUACAUCUGCAAUUUCAUCCCUGUUCUAAAACUCAAUUCAUUCAAUAAAUUCAUACAGAUGCAGGAAAUGUAACCAAUAUUUGUGGAAUCAAGGAAUUGGUAAACAAACCCUAGUUAACUGGGAGCUUCUGCAAGCAGGCUUUCUUCGCUUUUGCUCUGAUCUGCUCAACAGAACAGAGAUUUUUUUUCAUAGGCACAGUUGCAAAAAAAAAAGAAUCAAGGAUCAGAAAAUUGUAACAAUAAAAAUAAAAUGGAGUCCAUGAUAAAUCAGGAAAAAAAUCUGAGUACAAUACUAAAAAGUUCUGCUAUGCUUAAGCACAAGAGACAAAUAUAAGCUGGUGAUGGAAGAGUUAGGUGGAGUCAGGUGGAGUCAAAGCUGUUUGGACCACAGAUGAUCUGGAUGAAGGUCCCUUUUGCCAGCUUUAACCUGCUCAGCAUUUUUAUCAACAUAUGAAUGAAGACCCGGAAGGAAUGCUUAUUAAACCUCUAGAUAAGGCUGAAAGGAUCCUAGGAGAACUACAAUUCAAGAAGAUAAACUAUACUCAUGGCCAAAACACUUUGAUAUUUAAUAUGGACAAACAAAAAGUCUUCAACCAGGUUUGAAAAAUCAAUAUACAAAAACAGAAAGGAAGAGACUAGGGUCAUUACAAAUUUGUAUAAAAAAGAUUUGGGUGUUUUAGCUGAGUAAAAGCCCAAUAUGAAUCAAGAGCUAAAAAAGUCCUUAUCAAAGGGACUCUUCCACCCUACAGCCUAUACUGCUAAGACCAAAUUGCAAGUAUAUACUUAACUACUGCCAUAUCUCAAAAUAGACUCAAGGUGGAUGUAAGGAUAUGUGAAAUAUGAUAAGAGAAUAUAAAUUUAAAAGUGUGAAAAGAAAAAUAACAGUAGGAAUAUAGACUGAAUCAUAGCUGAAAAAUGUAUAGUAUAAAGACAUUUUAUGUGAAUAUUAUAAAGGCAUAGUAAGUCAAGUUAUAUAGGGUUCCUAAGGUAAAAAGACAUCAAUAGUCUUUGAGUAAAAACAACUAUUCUUGGAACUAAGCCCAGACAGGAAUUUUCUCAAGAGGAUCCAUAAAGAGAGCAUUGAAUAAUAUAUAGCACAGUUCCUUACAUAAUAUCCUUAUAGUACAUACCACAAAACAUUUCAUAAGGCUGUUUCUUAUUUCAAGUCCCAACACAGAUCAACAGCAUCACAUCAACAUAAAAUUUAAUAAAAUAAAACUCUAAAGGGCACCAAUACAUUACAGCCCAGAAUCCCUACAGAUCAGGGGUAGUCAUAAACACAGAGGAGUCAUACAAUAUAUGGUUCUUUGUUACUCAUUUCUUUCACUAAACAUAAUAUUUUGGAGGUUCAUCCACUUUGCAGCAUGUAUCAGUAUUUUAUUCCUUUCAUGGCCAAAUAACAUUCCACUGUAUAGACAUAUCAUUUUGUUUAUCCAUUCAUCAGUUGAUAAACAUCUGGACUGUUUCCAUAUGUUGACUAUGAUGAACAGUGCUAUCAUGAGCAUCCAUUUACAAGUUUUGUAUGGAUAUAUAGUUUUACCUCCUUUGGGUAUAUGCCUAGGAAUGGAAUUGCUGGGUCAUAUGGUAAUUCUAUGUUUAACCUUUUAAGGAACUGCUAGACUGUUUUCUGAAGUGGGUAUACUAUAUUACUCUAUUGUGAUUUUAAUUUACAUUUCCCUAUAAAGGCAUUAUGCAUUUUCAUGUGUUUAUUGACCAUUUAUAUGUUUCCUAUUAUGAAAUAUCUGCUUAAGUCUUUUGCUCAUUGUUUGAGUUGUUCAUCUUUUUUUGUUGACUUAUUGGACUAAAUUUGUGAUUUAUUUAUUCAUUUUCUUAAUGGUAUCUUUUGAUGAACAGAAACAUUUAACUUUGAUAUAGGUCAAUUUAUCAAUUUUUUUCUUUUAUGGUUAGUAUUUUUGUUUUUCUAUUCAAAAAUAUCUUUGCCUAACCCCAAAGUUAUGGAAAUACUCUCUUACAGUUUCUGCUGGAUGCUUUAUGUUUCUGAGUUUUAUAUUUAAGUCCAUGAUCCAUGUUGAAUUAGUUUUUGUGUAAAGGGCAGAUAGGGGUUGAGGUUCAUUUCUUUUUUCUAUACACAUUCAUGGGUUCUAGCAACAUUUGUAAAAGACUUUUACCCAUUGAAUUAACUUAACAUCAUGGUAGAAAAUCAACUGCCUGUAUCUAUGGGUCUAUUUCUGGACUCUAUUCUGUUCUAUAGAUGUAGCAGUCUAUCUUUACGCCAACAACUAUACUGUCAUGAUUACUGUAACUUUUAAGUCUUUUUUUUAUUUCCCAAGCAGUUACUUUUAAAUAGCAUUUUAAAAU
Molecule: long non-coding RNA, 3499 nt
Organism: Manis pentadactyla (Chinese pangolin)
Lineage: Eukaryota; Metazoa; Chordata; Mammalia; Pholidota; Manidae
Exons: 2
Source: RefSeq, a predicted model, not a curated record